GAUGAACGCUGGCGGCGUGCCUAAUACAUGCAAGUCGAGCGAACGGACGAGAAGCUUGCUUCUCUGAUGUUAGCGGCGGACGGGUGAGUAACACGUGGAUAACCUACCUAUAAGACUGGGAUAACUUCGGGAAACCGGAGCUAAUACCGGAUAAUAUUUUGAACCGCAUGGUUCAAAAGUGAAAGACGGUCUUGCUGUCACUUAUAGAUGGAUCCGCGCUGCAUUAGCUAGUUGGUAAGGUAACGGCUUACCAAGGCAACGAUGCAUAGCCGACCUGAGAGGGUGAUCGGCCACUCUGGAACUGAGACACGGUCCAGACUCCUACGGGAGGCAGCAGUAGGGAAUCUUCCGCAAUGGGCGAAAGCCUGACGGAGCAACGCCGCGUGAGUGAUGAAGGUCUUCGGAUCGUAAAACUCUGUUAUUAGGGAAGAACAUAUGUGUAAGUAACUGUGCACAUCUUGACGGUACCUACUCAGAAAGCCACGGCUAACUACGUG
RNAcentral lists this ribosomal RNA (497 nucleotides) under uncultured bacterium. Its description in RNAcentral is "partial 16S ribosomal RNA". It matches the Rfam family "Bacterial small subunit ribosomal RNA", at positions 28 to 507 of the family's 1533-position model. The record is from RNAcentral.